UAUGAAGAACGCAGCGAAAUGCGAUAAGUAAUGUGAAUUGCAGAAUUCAGUGAAUCAUCGAAUCUUUGAACGCACAUUGCGCCCCUUGGUAUUCCGAGGGGCAUGCCUAUUCGAGCGUCAUUAUAACCCCUCAAGCUCAGCUUGGUGUUGGGGCCUGCUGCACUGGCAGCCCUUAAAAUCAGUGGCGGCGCCAUCUGGCUCUAAGCGUAGUAAUUCUUCUCGCUAUGGAGUCCUGGUGGAUGCUUGCCAUCAACCCCCAAUUUUUCUAUGGUUGACCUCGGAUCAGGUAGGGAUACCCGCUGAACUUAAGCAUAUCAAUAAGCGGAGGA
This 329-nucleotide unclassified non-coding RNA is filed under the name soil metagenome. RNAcentral's name for it is "partial contains 5.8S ribosomal RNA, internal transcribed spacer 2, and large subunit ribosomal RNA". The stretch from base 2 to 120 matches the Rfam family "5.8S ribosomal RNA", at positions 36 to 154 of the family's 154-position model. The record is from RNAcentral.